Molecule: long non-coding RNA, 1996 nt
Filed under: Eucalyptus grandis
Lineage: Eukaryota; Viridiplantae; Streptophyta; Magnoliopsida; Myrtales; Myrtaceae
Description: long non-coding RNA (EGRA_LNC000211)
Source: RNAcentral
GCCGCCGUCGGAUUGAUCCGAUUUGCGCGCGAUUUGGUGAGUAAUCUCACUAAUCCUGGAUUAGUUGGCUAAUUAUGCUUAAGGUUGGUUUAGUUUUAAUUAAUUAUGUUUAGGUUGUUAGAUUUAAAUAAAUUAGCAAUUAUUAGUCAAUUGUGAUGUGAUUUAGAUAAAUUGAUUGUGCAAUUAACAAGUAGACGUGGUCUACUAAUUAUUGGAAGUGCCUCGGGAUUUUUCCCGACCCUUAGUGGGCUCCAAUUAGGCUUUUCGGGCCUAAGUGGAUUUUUUAGUAUUUAAAUAUUAAUUUUCGGAAUUAAAUUAAAUAAUUAUUUAUUUUCCGAAAAUUCAACUGAGAUGGCUCGGGAUCGGAAAAUUAUGCUGAUGGCCGUGGUGAAGUCCGUUUAUUUAAUCGGGCUUUAUUUUGAGCUAAAUUGAAUUUUUAAUAUUAAUUAUUUAAUUUUCGAAAUUAAUUAUUUAAUUAAUUAUUUUUCAGAAAUUAAGAUGUUGAUGACCGACGACCGAAAUCUCGUGCUGAUUGUCGUGGCGCAGUCCGUUUAUUCAUUUGAGCUCUACGUUGUAUGGAAUUGAAUAAAUUGUGAUAUUUUAGUGAUUUACCCUAAAUUGAUUGGAAUCGAUUGAGAUUGAAUUAUUGAUUGGUGAUUGGUCAAGUAUGUUAUUCAGCAUUUAUAAUGCUUUGUUGAGUUGAUUUAAUUAUUUGAAUGAGAAAUCGUUGGGCAUUGGUUGCCGGUAUUGAAAGAAGAUUGGUAACCCUUUGAAAGAGGACACGUGGGCUCGGUGAAUUGGAAUGUCACCUGGAAAAUGCACGUGAGUUCAGUGGUUGAAUAUGUCACCUUGGCGAAGAGGUCGCCUGAGAGAAUGCACGUGGCUCGGAGACUCGGUAUGUCGUCCUGGAGAAUGCACGUGGCUCGGUGACAGAGUUUGGCAUCUAAAAGGGCACGUGGCUCGGUCAUCUGAUGCGUCACUUUGGUAAGCGAGUACCUUAGAGAAUGCACGUGGGCCCAGGCAUCUAAAAGGACACGUGGCUCGGUGAUCUGAUGCGUCACUUUGGUAAGCGAGUACCUUAGAGAAUGCACGUGGGCCCAGGCAUCUAAAAGGACACGUGGCUCGGUGAUCUGAUGCGUCACUUUGGUAAGCGAGUACCUUAGAGAAUGCACGUGGGUCCAGUAUUCGGAAUGGCAUCUAAAAGGGCACGUGGCUCGGUGAUUUGAUGCGUCACUUUGGUAAGCGAGUACCUUAGAGAAUGCACGUGGGCCCGGGCAUCGUAAAAAGGACACGUGGCUCGGUGGCUUGAUGUACCACCUUGGCGAAGAGGUCGCCUUAGAGAAUGCACGUGGGUCCGAGGUUUGAGGCACGUGUCUCGGAGACUUGGAAGGUCGUCCUGGAUAAUGCACGUGUCUCGGAGACUUGGAAGGUCGUCCUGGAUAAUGCACGUGGCCUAGCUUUUAAAUAUCCCACAGUGGGGAUUGAAUUGUAUGACAUGUAAUCGACUAGUUCGAUUAGUUUGAAGCGAAUGGCUGUUUAUUGUGAAUUGUGUACUGACUUGCAGGUGGGAUUAGAGGCCAAGGUAAGUCCUCUGCCCUGUGCGUGUUUAGGCAGCCUUUAGUAUAUUGGUUUACUAAUCGGGCUUAGUGGGGUAGAACUCGCUGAGACGUAGUCUCAUCCCAGUUUGGGGAAAAACCAUUUCAGGACCCCGCUGAAGAGCUGUGGAGGAGGAAUCCGAGAAGGAGAACUCGGAGGUGAGAUCUGAAGAGAAGGAUUUUUGGAAGAAGAAGAUAGUCUCGAGAGGGGCCUUGAGUACGGUCUGGAUGGAUUGAGAUCCUAUCUUCUUUUGAGAUCUCCUUUUUGAUGUGAAUAGUUUUGAAGUGAUUUAUGGUUUGUAUAAAAGUUUGGUUAUAAAUUUCAAUAUGAAAAAUAUGGCCCUGCUUUUCUAUCCCAUCAUUUUAUUGUCUGGGGAUUUUAACUGCUUCCGCAUGUGCUU